GCCGAACUUCGCCUUUGACUUUAAUUGCAGGAAGACUCCACCCGGACUCCCACGGGAGUCGGGCUUCGUCCUCGACUCCAACGACUGCAGACAGACUUCGUCCGGACUCCUACGGGAGUCGGACUCUGCCGACAACUUCAACCGCAAGUAAACUCCGCUCGGACUCCUACGGGAGCCAGGCUCCGUCCUCAACAUCAAC
Molecule: long non-coding RNA, 199 nt
Filed under: Elaeis guineensis (African oil palm)
Lineage: Eukaryota; Viridiplantae; Streptophyta; Magnoliopsida; Arecales; Arecaceae
Description: long non-coding RNA (EGUI_LNC056520)
Source: RNAcentral